This 1643-nucleotide long non-coding RNA is filed under the name Canis lupus dingo (dingo). Its description in RNAcentral is "lncRNA (ENSCAFG00020022314.1)". The record is from RNAcentral. Lineage: Eukaryota; Metazoa; Chordata; Mammalia; Carnivora; Canidae.
CACAGGAGGCUGGGCUGUGGGUGCGCACGAGCUGGGCCGGGUGGUCGGCGAUGACCUCUACCGUGGUGCGGGCGUCCUGCGGCACCGGGACACCGGGACACCUGCUGCGGCCGCGCAGCCCCCACCGGGCUCACCUCGCUCGUCUUGCCGGGCUGCAGGCCGCUGCACGGAGGGCUGAAGCGCAGGCUGGCGCUCGGGUCCACGGGAAGACGCAUCCCAACCGCCCCAAGUGAGGGAAGGGGCCGGGGGAGGGAGAGGAGGGUGGAAAUGAGGCGCGAGGAGGAGGAAAUUGGGGGCUUAGAGGCGAGACGGGGGGAGAGGGAAUGGAGGUGAUGAGGUGCAGGAGGGGAGAAGUCAAGUUCCAUGGAGCCGACCGCCAGGAGGAGUCUCACGGGCCGUGGCGGCGAAGCGGAGCAGUCGGGUGGGCGGGCUGGGAGGCCCGGGAGGCCCGGGAGGCCCAGAGCUUGCCGGAGCCCUGGGAACGCCCGCGGUGGCAGCUGAGAACCGGCGCGGGGAUGUGUGCGGCCUGGGGCGGCGGGGGCUUCAGGUUGCAGCUCGGAGCGGGGUCCCGUGGGGCGCCGCGUGCUGGGAGCAGCCGCGCCCCCUCCCAGCGCACAGCGCCCCUGAGCCUCGCGGGUCCAGGUGCCAGGACGGGAGUCGCGGGCAGCGGCCCUGGAGCCUGCGAGUCGCCGCCGCCGCCGCCGCCCGCGGGCCAGAGCAGGAGCCGGGGCGCCCCGCGCAGCUGCCGCAGCCGGAGAGGCGGCCCGGGCGCAGGGGAAUCUCGCGGGUCGCCCCGUCGCUGCUCCCCGACCCAGGACGACGAACCCCCUCUUGGUCGCCCGAGGUUGAAGCUGAGACGCCAGAGAGCCGCGCCCUGAACUGACUGUCCUUAGCUUCCGCUGGAACUUCAGGAGAGGAGGAGGGAAGGUGCUGGCGAUGCACGGGGAACGUGGGAGGCCGUCCUGAUGUGGCGGGGACUGAGGCUUGCGCUCUGGGGGAGGCGCGGGGGACAGAGGGGCCUCCAUCCGCUCGGCGGACGGCUGGGGGCUGAGGCGCUUAGGCCUGAGCCCUCGCGGGGUCACUAGCGAGUUCAGGGGACACUGCUCUGUCCUUCCUCUUCGGGGCUUCCUCUGUACCUUCUCUUUCUCCCUUCCCUGUUCCAGGCCUCCCUCCUGCGUCUCCCGCUGUCCCAGUUUACUCCCCACCUUCCCGCCUCUCCCCAAAAUACCCCCCGUCGACGUGAGCCUCCUCCCUGCGCCCCUCCCGCCUCCUCUGCCUUCCCAGGGGCCGCUUGCCACCUGCGUGCCACCUGCAGGGUCCCUGGCGAUGACUCCCCCCUCCCUGACCUCCUCCUAGCCCCCCCCCCCCCCUCCGGCCUACUGGCCUCAGGGCCCAGAGCCAAGGGGACGCGAGAGAACCCCACUGAUCGCGACGCACUGGAUGCGCAGCGAGCAAGGAGCAACUGUUUCCUGAGCCUGCCACGUUUAACUCUCUUUUCUGUCCCAGGGGAGAGCUCUAACCGGGGCCCUGGGAUGGAACCCCGCCCCGGGCUCCCUGCUGGGCUCCUCCCUCUGCCUGUAUCUCUGCCUCUCUCUGUGGGUCUCUCCUGAAUAAGUUAAUAAAAUCUUCUUUAAAAAAAAUCA